This 786-nucleotide long non-coding RNA is filed under the name Parus major (Great Tit). RNAcentral describes it as "lncRNA (ENSPMJG00000010932.1)". The record is from RNAcentral. Lineage: Eukaryota; Metazoa; Chordata; Aves; Passeriformes; Paridae.
AGGAGUGGUGCUCAAGUACCUGGCAUCACUUGGUGACCUCCCUGAAGCUGAACACAUGGAAAAUGGUUGAAUUAAAAAAGAUCUGUCCUCUGCUUGCAGAAUGCACCUUUCUAAAUGAAGAGUCACCAAAUGAGAAAGGGAUGAUUUAUUUUCAAAUUGCCCUCCAUACAUUUUGAGCAAGUUAUAAGAAUGGCACCUUUCAUAAGCAUAAAGAGAUACAAUUCAUGAUGACUCGCUUCUGUAUUUACAAGAUUUGGGCUGAACUCUGAGCCUGGAGCUGUUGGGUGCUGAAGAUGGCAGCUGAGAAGCAGUCUCCACUACAGCUGGUAUAAACAAUGCGACUGCUUUUACAGAGGAAAGAAGAAUUUGAGCUAAACAACUCAUUACAGAGUGGAGGGAUCAGAGAUUUUGUUUUGGUUAACCUGUGCUUUGGCAAUCUGAGGAAUGAAUACAAAUUGUGUGAUACAAGAACCUUAAAAAAAAAAUUGGAUUUUUGUUGUUGUUAUUCAAGAUCUAGCAAAGCAAACAAAUCUCUUUUGGCAGACUAUGCUUACUGUUACAAUGUUUGCAAUUCCAUGUUUUACAUCUAAAACUAAAGGAUAUCGGCCUGUAUAAUUUGACUUUUGUACAUUUUCCAUUUAAGAUUCUAACUUCAUGAACAUUAAGAAAAGAUUAUUUUUAAGCUCCAUUUUUAUUGCCAGCAAUUUCUGUUCAUAUAAUAUUCUCAACAUACCUGAACUUCAAUACUGUCAAAGUUAACACAUGUAAUCUUGUUUCAAGAGACUU